CUAGCCCCUUCUUCAGUGGAUCCUUUAUCACCCCAGCGAACCUAAGGAAAGCCAGAGUUCAGACGUAAAUGCACUGUAUGCAAAGGACAAGGAAACCGUUGCAAAUAACAGUAGCGGAAGAAGUUUGCAUUUGGACGAAUUUCUGAAUAAACGAGAGGGGAGGGACCUCCUGACUGGAGUUGCCAGGCAUGAAAAGAGAAGAAUCCAAGUAAGAAACACCAGAGAAGACUGACCUUCCACCCUGAGGGAAAGAAUUAAGAGCAUCACUGCACACUGCUUGGCAGCUGCCGGAAGAAUGGCAGAAGAGUACAGCACAGAGAAGCAAUAAAAACAGACAACUGCAUUACCACAUGAACUGAAAACCGGGAAGAAAUGUAAUGACUAAUCCAGCAAGUUUUUUGUUGGCCACAGCUCAGAAACCACAUUUAACUGCCGGGAAGGCUCAUGAUAUAAAAUAAAGUUGAAGUAGUAACAGACAACCUCCCUAGAUUUCUGGUGGGACACUCCUGUGGAGAAUGAGAGAGAAGAGAGUCUUUUUAUUAGAGAAGAGCUUAUAGUUCUUGCCUCAGAAGCCCCAGACCAUGAGGAUGCAGACAGGGGCUGAGGACUUCUUGCCCUAGGAUAGCCUGGGGCCUCACGGACUACACCAAAGCUUUUGAUUGCGUGGGCUUCGGCAUGGUCAGGAGAGAAGGCCAGUUCCUCUGCUGCCCCAGGUUCCACAAGCCCGAGACAAGACAAGGAAUACAGUGACAGCCUGGAAGCCAUCUCCACUUCCCAAGUCCUCAGCGCUGUUGCUGAACUAGAUGAAUAAUAAACUUCACCCAUUUAAAAACCCCAACAUGCAAGGAGAGAGAAGGAGAGUUAGUGAAACAGCACUGCUGACUGCUGCUAGAAGGAUAAAGAGCGCACUCAGAUGAAAAAAGAUGCAAUGUGUGCAAGGGAUUAUGAAGACAAUAUGGGAUUUCCAACUUGAGAGCCCAUAAUGGACUACAAAUACCAAUUUUAGUGAUACUACUUUUAAAAUGGUCCUUGAUUUCAGGAUGUCUGCAUACUAUUACGGCCAACAACUUUCAAAUAACGGAGAAAAGGCUUUUACCAAAGACUUCACAGAAAUAUAACACAUGUGCUCGCUCAGUAGAAAGCCAAUGAGCAGUACACCAGCAUGCUGAUGUUGGUUCAUGUGUGUGCAGGUCUCAGAAAGCCAGAAGCACUGCUAAGAGUGCAGUCCACAGCGUUGAAGCUGGUCUCUUUUUCCAUUUAUUGCGUACCACUAAUGAAAGAAAACUCCCUCAACAGAUGGCUUAUGUCACAUGUAGCUCUCCUGUUACUUAACCUAUUUCCUAGGGUAUCUGUGUUUCCCAACAUGCUACGAGUUAUAAUCGUGAGUCGCACACCCAGUGACUUUCUCUCGUAGUCUUUACUCACCACUUUGCAGCAGAGCGGCCAGAACCACCAGAGCAGACCGAGUGCCACUAACAGCAGCAGCACAAGAACAGCAAUAAGCGCCGCUACUCCACUAGACUGCAAAGAAAGCAGAAAGGCAGUGUCAGUGGAUGUUGCAAAUAACUGCUGCCUGGUUUUCCCACUCACCCCAAAACAGCUUCCUACUGACCGAUACAAAUCCCACGCAAAUCGUUCCCAUGGGUCAGAUCCUAUUCUUGCCAAUGGAGAAAUUCUUCACAAAGGAUCAAGAAGGGGGUCUUAGCCAAAUGCGUAUCUGGCACAAGUUCAGUGACACACUUCGUUAUAAGUCUCCUCAGUUCCACUAGUUACGUAGAAGGUAAGCUAGGAUGCUUCAAUAGGAGCUGCGUGUCACAAUAAAUGAUGUAUCAACACUAAAAAGAGGGAGGAGGUGGUAAGAUGCUAUUCGUGUUUCUCAUUCCCUACGAGUUCUGGCGCCUGCAAUUCUCAGGUAUUCGAAGGGACUGAACACAGCGUGCUGAACAGAGCAGUACUGGUGGACAUGUUACAUUGCAAAUGACAGAACUUUGAAAACUACUUUUUUCUGCCUACCUGUAAACUAAACUUCAAAUUAAGUCAUUCAGUCAUCGGUAACGGGCCCAAGGUGCCCCAAUGCAAGCCAGGAUUAUUUCUGCUGAGGUCAGUGGAUUCAUUUUGAUGUAAAACUGAUAUCCUUGACAUAAGGAACGAGGCCCAACUUGAAGAAAAGAAAGGGUACAUCGACUGCUAAGAAACGAGCUGUUACGACACAAACGGGAAAAGUCUCCUCCUAAGUCUGUGGAUAAGAGGUGCCCUCCUCCUCCCAUGAGGACACAGGUCUGUAUGGAUUGGUAGAUGCGUGGAAUUUUACGGAAUCUAUACUAACAAUACAUACAUAAGGCUUUUAUGCUUAUAACCCAUACAUCUGGGGCAUUCACACUGUACAGACUAUAGCACGCUAAAUCCCUGUAGUAGUGCUAUUUGAACCUGAAGGCACCAUCCCAAGAAGUUCUGAACAAGUGUUACUGCUUCCAGCAAUACUGCUUUUAAUGAAGAAAUGAGCAGCCCAUCUCCCACCACCUCAAACUCACAUCCUGUAGGUGCUUUUAUUCUUACACUUGGUGUUCUGUGCUGCUGUGCUGGUUUAGAACAACACUGAGAAAAAGGCAACAGUGACCUUAUGAAAAGGGAAGUUAUUCAGACUUCAGCUGGGGAAAAAGGAAAGGAGGGACACCCAGGGCAUCACUAAGGCUCGAGUAGAGCGUGAGUAAUUCUGUCAAAGUGAGAAAAGUUGCACUGGAGAUACACCAUUGCAAAUGGAAGGUGAAACAGAGCUUUAUUCCAAGUACGCGUAGGUGCAGCGAGGCAUAUGCAUUUACAAGAAACAGUGAAAACUUUUGACCGCAAAGAAGCACUGUGAGAGUACAGCAGAGAGAAGACAGCCAUACCCAGCAAUUUGGUAUGAUCUGCUUUGCAUCAGUGCUUUGUUUUUACCUAUCUGUGCAAUCUUAGCAAUUUUUAAGGGGGUAUGGAGACAGACUUAACAUGUGCUGCUUUCUCAGUCUACUGUUAGUCUCCAGCAUCAUCCUGUGACUGUACUGUCCUUACGUUAUCAUACUGUCCUUCAGCGUGCUUUGGUGUAAGAUUGAAAUGCUUCCGAAUGAUAAAGAGGCCCUUAAACAGAGAAACGUGAUUUCGGUAGCGUGUGUUUGUUCACCUCUCGAUUCAUUCAGGCUUUCUUCCUGAAACUGAAGGGCUGAACUGAGAUGACUCUGAUUUCUACAGUUACCCAAGUAUUUAGUUUUUAAAUUAAUAGAAGAAAAAUGUCAUUUUUUUCUCUAUUAGGUUAAUUACCUAUGAGCAAUAAAAAUAUUGUUGGAAAAAUACAUGCUGAUGAGCAGAAAGUGCUGUUCUGUAUGGUUGUAUGCCUGACAGGAAAGCUGCACUAAAGUCACACUUCAGAUGAGACGAUUUAAAGAAACAGAGUAUCCACGCGUAGCACAUUUUCAAAACCUCCAUCCCUACAUAGUGGUCUUGUGUUUAACUGCAAAAAUUUUGACUGUCCUACCUAUGUAAAACAGAAGACAGAAGAAAUUAACAGAGAGCAGAAAUGUGAGAUUAGAAAUUUUAUAUAUUAAGUUUGAAAAGCCACUGCCUGCGUAAGUCUGUGGUUUAUCCUGCAAGCUGUUUUAACUCUUUUCCAUAAGCCUAUGAUAGAAACACAGUUAACCCUAGGCUUAACCUAGGUACUCCAGCCUGUGCUUUGACAAAGACUCCUAAUUUACAGAGUUGAGAGCCUACGCUCCUUACUCAGGCACCGUUAGGUAUCUAAAGUUACACAGUGCUAGUAUGCUCCUGUAGGUUUCUAACCAUCUUCCAUAACCAGGCUGAAGUCCUAAGGUUCUGCCUCCUCAGCUUCAGCCUGCUCCCACUGAACCUACUCAGUACCUGGCUCUUAUGAGUUGAUUGUAUUUAUAGCGAGGAAGUCUCUGAUGGCAUGGAAGCUUCCCAGUAUUUUGAAAGCCACAGCUGCACACUGUGCUAAAGUAAAUUUUUGUAAUACAUAUAGCAAAAUACAAUUUGCAAGCUAUAGAAAAAUAGAAGCCCCGCACAGAGAAGGAACACACAGGCACUGCCUGGAUUUCAGGGCAGAGCUGGCUGAGGUAGCCUUGGAGAGGAGGAAAAUUCCAGGGCUUUCCCUCUACGUAUAGUUCUGCAUAUGGUCUAAAUCAGCGGCCCCUGAAGCAGCUAGCAAAACAGCUUCAGCAGCAAUGAAAGGAGAAACGCUUAUAGCAGAAGGUAAGCAGAAAGCAAAGGUAAAUCUCCAAGCCUGCCACGCGAGAGAUAGCUUUCGUGUGUUACUAGGAAGUCUUGGAUGAUAAAUACAGCAAUACUUCACUUAUGCAGAAUCCUGCAAAAAAAGAACUUCCUAAAAUAAAGCUGUUUGCCACCUUAAUGGAAAGAAUUAGGGGAAUUGUUUUAUAUAACCACAGAAAAAAAUCUUGUCUGUAACCCCUCACGCACACUUCGACAGGGAAUUAAAAACAGCUGAAAACUCUUUGUUGCGUGUAGCGGUGUAAUGAAACAGAUUCUAAGCGUGUUUCCAAAUACAGAGAAAGCAACUUAACAUAUCUUUAUGUAUGCACCUACAUAUUAAGAAAUCAUGUAUCAUUAAAUUAUGUGUGUUCUGUA
Molecule: long non-coding RNA, 4632 nt
Organism: Aquila chrysaetos chrysaetos
Lineage: Eukaryota; Metazoa; Chordata; Aves; Accipitriformes; Accipitridae
Exons: 5
Source: RefSeq, a predicted model, not a curated record